This 274-nucleotide ribosomal RNA is filed under the name uncultured bacterium. Its description in RNAcentral is "partial 16S ribosomal RNA". It matches the Rfam family "Bacterial small subunit ribosomal RNA", at positions 523 to 796 of the family's 1533-position model. The record is from RNAcentral.
AUACGGAGACUGCAAGCGUUGUUCGGAUUCAUUGGGCGUAACGGGUCUGUAGGCGGUCGGCCAAGUCGGAUGUGAAAUCCCCGAGCCCAACUCGGGUUGGGCAUUCGAAACUGGUCGACUAGAGGACUGGAGAGGAGACUGGAAUUGUCGGUGUAGCGGUGAAAUGCGUAGAGAUCGACAAGAACACCUGUGGCGAAAGCGGGUCUCUGGACAGUGCCUGACGCUGAGGGACGAAAGCUAGGGGAGCAAACGGGAUUAGAAACCCUAGUAGUCC